Molecule: ribosomal RNA, 500 nt
Filed under: uncultured bacterium
Lineage: Bacteria
Description: partial 16S ribosomal RNA
Rfam family: Bacterial small subunit ribosomal RNA
Source: RNAcentral
AUUGAACGCUGGCGGCAGGCCUAACACAUGCAAGUCGAGCGGUUGAAGGGAGCUUGCUCCCUGAUUCAGCGGCGGACGGGUGAGUAAUGCCUAGGAAUCUGCCUAUUAGUGGGGGACAACGUUUCGAAAGGAACGCUAAUACCGCAUACGUCCUACGGGAGAAAGCAGGGGACCUUCGGGCCUUGCGCUAAUAGAUGAGCCUAGGUCGGAUUAGCUUGUUGGUGAGGUAAUGGGUCACCAAGGCGACGAUCCGUAACUGGUAUGGGGGGAUGAUCAGUCACACUGGAACUGAGACACGGUCCAGACUCCUACGGGAGGCAGCAGUGGGGAAUAUUGGACAAUGGGCGAAAGCCUGAUCCAGCCAUGCCGCGUGUGUGAAGAAGGUCUUCGGAUUGUAAAGCACUUUAAGUUGGGAGGAAGGGUUGUAGAUUAAUACUCUGCAAUUUUGACGUUACCGACAGAAUAAGCACCGGCUAACUCUGUGCCAGCCGCCGCGGUAA